UUCUUAUCCAGAGAGGUUGAGGGACUGGCCCUAUGAUACCUCGGCAGCGGACAAAUAAGUCUGUGCUAAUUCCAGCAAGCGUAACAGCUUGAAAGAUAAGAA
This is a regulatory RNA element of Bacillus sp. FJAT-18017, 102 nucleotides long. It matches the Rfam family "SAM riboswitch aptamer (S box leader)". From Rfam's summary of the family: The SAM riboswitch is found upstream of a number of genes which code for proteins involved in methionine or cysteine biosynthesis in Gram-positive bacteria. The SAM riboswitch acts at the level of transcription termination control. The predicted structure consists of a complex stem-loop region followed by a single stem loop terminator region. NCBI's taxonomy places the organism in Bacteria, Bacillati, Bacillota, Bacilli, Caryophanales, Bacillaceae. The record is from Rfam.